UUGGAGGGCAAGUCUGGUGCCAGCAGCCGCGGUAAUUCCAGCUCCAAUAGCGUAUAUUAAAGUUGUUGCAGUUAAAAAGCUCGUAGUUGAAUUUCGGGAUCAAUGCGUCGGUCGUGCCUUCGGUACGUACUAGCGUCAUUGAUUCCUCCCUUCUGAAGAACCGUGAUGUCAUUAAUUUGGUGUUACGGGGAAUCAGGACUGUUACCUUGAAAAAAUUAGAGUGUUUAAAGCAGGCUAACGCUUGAAUACAUUAGCAUGGAAUAAUGAAAUAGGACGUUCGAACCUAUUUUGUUGGUUUCUAGGAUCGACGUAAUGAUUAAUAGGGAUGGUUGGGGGCAUUAGUAUUCAAUUGUCAGAGGUGAAAUUCUUGGAUUUAUUGAAGACUAACUACUGCGAAAGCAUUUGCCAAGGAUGUUUUCAUUAAUCAAGAACGAAAGUUAGGGGAUCGAAGACGAUCAGAUACCGUCGUAGUCUUAACCAUAAACUAUGCCGACUAGGGAUCGGAUGAUGUUAAUUUUUUAAUGACUCAUUCGGCACCUUACCGGGAAAAC
This 551-nucleotide ribosomal RNA is filed under the name uncultured Glomus. RNAcentral's name for it is "SSU rRNA". It matches the Rfam family "Eukaryotic small subunit ribosomal RNA", at positions 548 to 1098 of the family's 1831-position model. The record is from RNAcentral. Lineage: Eukaryota; Fungi; Glomeromycota; Glomeromycetes; Glomerales; Glomeraceae.